This is a long non-coding RNA of Passer domesticus (house sparrow), 499 nucleotides long. RefSeq lists it as uncharacterized. The record is from RefSeq and is a predicted model, not a curated record. NCBI's taxonomy places the organism in Eukaryota, Metazoa, Chordata, Aves, Passeriformes, Passeridae. The transcript is spliced from 2 exons.
CCACAGUAUACUACUGGAAAAGCUGGCAUUCCACAGCUUGGACAGAUGCCCAUCACUGGGUUAAGAGCUGGCUGGAUGACCAGGCACAGAGAAUGGUUGUGAGCAGUGCUGUAUCCAGUUGGUGGCCAGUCACUAGUGGGGGCUCCCAGGAGUUGGUACUAGGCUCAGUCCUGUUUAAUUUCUUCACUGGUGAUCCGGAUGAGGGGAUAGAGUCCACCAUCAGUAAAUUUGCAGAUGAAACCAAGCUGGGAGCAUGUGCCAAUCUGUUGGAAGAAAAUACUUCCUGGAAUGCUGAAAGAACUGCAAGAUCUCUAUAAAUUUGUUACUACCAUCGAAAAGCAGCAAAUGAAAAUCUAUAUUAAGUAUACAGUUGUUUUUUGUACCAUCUGUAUAAAAGGAUCCAUGUUGAAUGACUUGAGAACAUCUUAAAUGUUUAAGAACAAUGUGAACCACUAGGUGGGAUUCUCCUUGAAAUAAAUAAAAAAUCCCUUCUCAGAUA